This 467-nucleotide ribosomal RNA is filed under the name uncultured bacterium. RNAcentral's name for it is "partial 16S ribosomal RNA". It matches the Rfam family "Bacterial small subunit ribosomal RNA", at positions 28 to 507 of the family's 1533-position model. The record is from RNAcentral.
GACGAACGCUGGCGGCGUGCUUAACACAUGCAAGUCGAACGGAAAGGCUCCAGCUUGCUGGAGUACUCGAGUGGCGAACGGGUGAGUAACACGUGGGUAAUCUGCCCUGAACUCUGGGAUAAGCCUGGGAAACUGGGUCUAAUACUGGAUAUGACCUUUCUCCUUAUGGGGUUUGGUGGAAAGUUUUUCGGUGUAGGAUGAGCCCGCGGCCUAUCAGCUUGUUGGUGGGGUGAUGGCCUACCAAGGCGACGCGGGGUAGCCGGCCUGAGAGGGUGAGCGGCCCCAUUGGGACUGAGAUACGGCCCAGAAGCCUACGGGAGGCAGCAGUGGGGAAUAUUGCGCAAUGGGGGGAAGGCUGAUGCAGCGACGCCGCGUGAGGGAUGACGGCCUUCGGGUUGUAAACCUCUUUCAGCAGGGACGAAGCGUAAGUGACGGUACCUGCAGAAGAAGCACCGGCUAACUAUGUG